Molecule: long non-coding RNA, 5000 nt
Filed under: Homo sapiens (human)
Lineage: Eukaryota; Metazoa; Chordata; Mammalia; Primates; Hominidae
Description: HSALNT0143989
Source: RNAcentral
CCAGUCUUCAUGUCAACCUGUUCAACCUUUCAACACAGAUUCAAAUCCAAUUGGCAGAUGUGUUUUGUUUAAACUGCACAGCAUUAAAAAAAUUUAUGUAGCUGCCAAUAUUUAUAAUAAAUCAGGAUAUCUCGCAUGCACAGAAUUGUAUUUCUUGCUUCUCUUUUAAAAUAUGAAUAUCUAUCAACACCACAUCUGCAUUCCAGUAUGGCUGGAGCUAAAUAGUAGUUGUCCCUAUGGACUGGGCAGGUGGUCACCAUAUCACCCCAACUCCUGCCACUCACUAUUACUUAUUUCUGGCCCAUUUCACUUAUUAUAGCUCUAACGUUGUCAAGCCCUCACUUGACCUAAUAUCCUCUUAUACAAAAAGUAGAAAACUGAGGCCUAAAUGAAGUGAAAUAAUGGAAUCUUGAGUCAAAGAUCAGUCACCCCCAGAAAUGUGUGAACCUAAAAAUAAAAACCUCACAGGAAUUAAAUUUGCAUAGGCCAGUCCCUCCUCCUAACAUAACCUGGUGGCCAAGCCUCCAUAAUACUCUGGGGCCAGGCUCUUGGUUAUGUUUUAGAAUUAUUUUUAAUUUAACUUUUGUUCUUGUUCACUCAGUGUCCCACAGUAAGGUGCACUGGGGGCUAAAGGCUUGAAAAAGCAAACAGAGUUAGGGGCCCUAAGUUUCUUCUCAAGAGUUCAGAUGGAAAUCAUAAAACCACCACACCAGGUUCCAGAUGAGUUCCACUGGAAGCUGGCAAAAACCUCCCGCCCAGCCUGGUUAAUGGCACUUAAGCACUGGAUUGUUUGACUGCCACUCUCCCUUACUGGAAUUGUUAGAAUAAUCUCUCUCUCUCUCUCUCCCUCCCUGCCUCCCGUUUUUUUUUUUUCUUUUUUUUCUUUGAGACAGAAUUUCACUGUCUGGAGUGCAGCAGCACGAUCUCGGCUCACUGCAACCUCCGCCUCCCAGGUUCAAGCGAUUCUCCUGCUUCAGCCUCCCAAGUAGCUGGGAUUACAGGUGCCCACCACCACGCCCAGCCAGAACAACCACUCUUUAGGACCUGGACAUACCUGCCACUCUCUGUGCCCUUUCCACUUGGCUUCUGAUAUUCAUGACAAGAUGGGAGAUGAUACUAAAUGGGCCCAUUUCUUCAGUGAUGGUUUCCCAUAACUAAGCAGUGUCGUUAGAACCACCUAUAUUAUUGCCGAGCCAGCUGGAGUCUUAAAAGUUUAUUUCCUAGAACACAUAGUCCACAUAAUCUCUUCCAUUACUGCUGGAAGGCAGCAGGGUACCUCUCCUGUAGUGCCUCAUGCCACCACAAAUAGAUCAUGCAGAAAUCAGGUGGCAAUGGGGUCUCUCCUGCUAUUUGCACCAUAUGAUGGCUGUUUGUUGUGCUGGACUCUUCAUUUGCCACUUGAGCCACGGUGUUCAGCUCCUAUCCGCCCUGGAAAAAAACACUGGCAAAGUCAGCUGGGCCAGGAUGCUUUGCAUUUUGAGGAAUCAUGAAAUGGCCAGUCCCAGCUAAUGGAUAAAAGUAGGAGCUGCCAGAAUGGAAAUGACUAUCAAAUCUGAAGAGAAAACAGACGAGACUUGUGCCACAGAGAGCAUCGAUCCAGGACUACGGGGUUCAAGGCUCUCAGCUCACUCAGACCAUGGGGGCCCUUUCUACUGGACACUUCAAAUUUCAGCUGGGGCAUGGAGACAGUUUCUGUUUUUCCCGGACCAGCCACUGUUAAAAGAAUGUCAAGAGAUUAUGGUUUUGUUGGGGGUGAAUUGCUGAGAGAAACAGAAAAACCUGAAAGAUCAAACUGGAAUCCUCCAGGAGCUGGACUCCACGGUAGAAGGAGAGCGGGUGCCUUCACUUCCACCCCCUGAAGUCUAGAGACCAUUUUGUAUCAAAUUGUACUUAGCAGUCAUGGAAGGAAGCUUGCACAAACUUAAUGUUCUUCAAUGGCUGUGCUCACUUAAAGUUAAUUUUAUUGUGGCAGUUGUUGUCUUGAAAGUUUAGAAUAAAGAGACUCCAGGAGGUCUUUUCAUAACAGAUAAUGAUGCUGGAAUGCAGAAAUGUUUUGCGGAAUAGCUUGGAGGGAUAAAUUAAUUAAUUAUUUGGGCUAAAAAUGAGCUGGAAAGAAAUGGAAAAAAUACUACACUUGGAACUAGAAGACCAAGGUUCAACACUCGGCUGCCAUACUCACUAGUUGUAUGACCUUGAGCAAUACAGCGAACCUCUCAGAGCCACAUUGUCAUCUGUAAAAUGGGUAUAAUGCUAACAUGCAACUGGUCACAAGGUUGUCAUACAGUACUAAUAAAAUAGUUAUCAUUAGUUUCAGUUGACUGAUGAGGAAACUGAGACUCAAAGGGUUAAAUGAAUUUCCCAAGGACACAUAGCUAGUGAGUGGCAGAGCCCAGUUUAAAACCCAGGUACAUGUGGCUGCAAUGUCUCAAUUCUUCCAUGCCACCAUUCUCUGCAAAUAUGUUGGGUUUAAUAUUGGUUAUUUGAACUCCAUUCAUACCUAGGUCCCAUCCUGCAGCACCUGGCAAAGAAAUUAGUAAAUAUUAGGUAUUCAUUAUGUAUUUGUUGAAUAAACCAACCCAUAAAUCAAUCAGUGAGUAAGCUAACAAUUUUUUGAUUCAUUUACAAAUACUAUUAAAUAGUUAUGUGCAUAACACAUGGGUGAUGAUUGUUUCAUGUUCAUAAUGUCAUAAAUAUAUUUCUCCAAAUUUGAUAUGUGUGUUUCAAAUGUUAAUGUUUGUAUAUAUGUUUGCAUCUGUAAUGUAUGAGUGUGUGUGUGUCCAAAAGUGAAGGAACAUGAGAAUAAGAUAAAAACAAAAGCAACUGUAUUCUGUGAACAGCCUCCUUGGUAUUAGAUAGAUGCCAGCACCUGUCUUUGGAAACUCUGGAAGCUCUCUGGGCAGUAUCUCCUUCCACACCUCAGCUGACAGCCUUUACUUUGAAUUGCAUAGAGAAUUGUCUUUGAGGAGCAAUUCUAGCUCCUUUCUCCAUCAGCAUUUGGUACAUAGAAAAGGUCAGACUUGCAAUUGGAUCUAUUUUCUGCAUUCCCAAGGUUCUGGCUCAAAGUGAAACAUCAGGGAGCUUUGUGAUCAAAUAACCAAUGUGAUGAGACAGCCUUUCAUUACACAAUAAAGGCCACCGGCGCCUGCUUCCACCUUGCCAUGUGGGACAAAGGUGGUCUAUGGAAUGCUGAACUUCCAAGUCUGGCUCAAAAAUGCAGUUCAGGCCUCCAAGACAACACCCAGCUGCCUUUUCCAUUUGCAGUAAUGUUUUCAAAACCUCGAUUCUCCUUUUCCUCUUGGCUAUAGAUUUCAGACUGGUCUGGAAUCUUUGUGACUUCAUAGGCUCAUAGAUAACUAGGAGUCACAACUCUCAUUCUUAUUCCACCUCUUAACAACUAAGUUAUUUGGGGAAGUUCCUUGAGCCCUCUGAGCCUCAAGUUUCUCCUCUGUGAAAUGGGAGUAACGAUACUUAGAGGUUCAAAUGAGUGGCACAUAUUGAAGUGUGGAAUGCUUAUCAACUGCAAGGUUUCAUUAAGCCAAAGUAGGAAAAUGCUAGCAUAUGUGAAAGAUAAAAAUAUAAAUUUUGACUAUGUAAAGGUUUCCCAGUUGAAUUUGAAUUUCAAAUAAACAAAUAAUUUUAUAGCAGAGAUAUGUCCCAUGCAAUACUUAGGAUAGACAUACACUAAAAAUAUAUUUGUCAUUUAUCUGAAAUUCGAAUUUAACCGGGUGUCCUACUUUUAUUUUUUUCAGAAUAUGGCAGUUCUACUCCCAGCCUUAGCCCCUCAGCCACAGUCACCUGGCUGAACUCAGAGCUUGGCAGGUAUAGAAUGUGGGCCAGGUUGGGGGGUGUUGGAUUUCUGGAGCUACAAGAGAUUUGCUCCAGGUACCUGAGGAAAAGGUGUCCAGAAAGGUGUGAUGAGGAGAAGCACAGGAGGGAGGGAGAGAAAGAACAGUACUUUGUUACCAGAGCCAGAAUCCCAUUGAGAGGCUGCCACUGCCACCUCAAGACUCCAUAAAGCUCCAGUAAUAAUUACCACCCUCACAGCAUCCAUCACAAUGAUCAAAUGAGAUAAGGCACAUCCAGUGCUAAGACCUGGCACUUAGCAAACUCUCCAAAACAGCCUUUAUUAUUAUUUUUUGAGGGACUGAGAAGUAGCAUGUAUUGGACAUAUUGAUAUCCCCAGCCCCAAAGUGAGUAUUGUAUAGAUAUCAUCUCAGGCAAACAUCAUAACAAUUUUCCAGGGUAGUUCCUGUUAUUGAUUGCAGUUUACUAAGGUACAGAGAAGUUGACACCUCCACAAGUCCUCUUGGCACUUGAUAGUAAGUGGUGGAGACCACAUUUGAAUCCAGGCCUGCUUGUGGUUAAAGUCUACCUUUCUGCACUGCACUAAGCUGCUUGGAAGAAUCCUUUCGGGGUCCUCAUGUUUUGGUAACCCAUUUGCUGCUGACACCACUAGAAGACUUGAAGCCAUUUCCGAAUGACUUCAAGCUGCUCCUUUCUGAAAUAGCGUACUGUUACCCAUUUUAGAGAAGGCACAUGGGGACAGGAAGUGACUGUCCCAGGUUGCCUCUUAAGAGAUUAAGUGCAAGAGGCUCCAAGCUGAAAUGGAGGCAUCAGGACAGGGUCCUGACCCCCUUCCAGGCCCCCUUACUGACCAGCCCCUGAGAGCAGGGCUACACUUCUGUCUGGUGACCUCUGCUAGUGUUAAGGGGCCCACUCUUUGCUCCAUCUCUCUUGGCCCAGAGCCAGGGGUGGGCUGUGGAAAGACACAAGGGUGGAUAAGUCUGAAUGGACCCCCCCUCCAAUGGUCACACCCCCCCCAGCCCCAAUUCAGUUAAAGAUUGCAGGAAGUGGUUUGUCCGUUUAGAAGUCUUCACAGCUCUGAGGCCCUUCUGAGAAAUUAACUUGCAGUUCUCUAAAGAUAGAUUGCGCAAAAUGGGAGGGGGCAGCCCCCAAGGACCCUCCAACAGCAAUUCUCCUGAGGACUUCCAGAGACCUCU